RNAcentral lists this ribosomal RNA (447 nucleotides) under uncultured Flavobacteriales bacterium. RNAcentral's name for it is "partial 16S ribosomal RNA". It matches the Rfam family "Bacterial small subunit ribosomal RNA", at positions 401 to 855 of the family's 1533-position model. Lineage: Bacteria; Pseudomonadati; Bacteroidota; Flavobacteriia; Flavobacteriales. The record is from RNAcentral.
GUGCAGGAUGAMGGYCUAUGGUUKUAACUSCUUUWUAUAGGAAGAACACUCUUCGUGUADGAGYUUGACGGUAYAGUWGAAUUAAWGAUCSGSYUAACUCCGUGCCAGCAGCCGCGGUAAUACGGAGGAUCCAAGCGUUAUCCGGAAUCAUUGGGUUUAAAGGGUCCGUAGGCGGUUUAGUAAGUCAGUGGUGAAAGCCCAUCGCUCAACGGUGGAACGGCCAUUGAUACUGCUAGACUUGAAUUAUUAGGAAGUAACUAGAAUAUGUAGUGUAGCGGUGAAAUGCUUAGAGAUUACAUCGGAAUACCAAUUGCGAAGGCAGGUUACUACUAAUUGAUUGACGCUGAUGGACGAAAGCGUGGGUACGAACAGGAUUAGAUACCCUGGUAGYCCACVCCGUAAACGAUGGAUACUAGCUGUUNGGAGCAAUUUCAGUGGCUAAGCGAA